UAGGGAAUCUUCCGCAAUGGACGAAAGUCUGACGGAGCAACGCCGCGUGAGUGAUGAAGGUUUUCGGAUCGUAAAGCUCUGUUGUUAGGGAAGAACAAGUGCCGUUCAAAUAGGGCGGCACCUUGACGGUACCUAACCAGAAAGCAACGGCUAACUACGUGCCAGCAGCCGCGGUAAUACGUAGGUGGCACGCGUUGUCCGGAAUUAUUGGGCGUAAAGGGCUCGCAGGCGGUUUCUUAAGUCUGAUGUGAAAGCCCCCGGCUCAACCGGGGAGGGUCAUUGGAAACUGGGGAACUUGAGUGCAGAAGAGGAGAGUGGAAUUCCACGUGUAGCGGUGAAAUGCGUAGAGAUGUGGAGGAACACCAGUGGCGAAGGCGACUCUCUGGUCUGUAACUGACGCUGAGGAGCGAAAGCGUGGGGAGCGAACA
Molecule: ribosomal RNA, 428 nt
Filed under: uncultured bacterium
Lineage: Bacteria
Description: partial 16S ribosomal RNA
Rfam family: Bacterial small subunit ribosomal RNA
Source: RNAcentral